CUUGGGCCACUCCCGUGGCAUAUGGAGGGUCCCAGGCUAGUGGUCUAAUCGGAGCUGCAGCUGCCAGCCUAUACCACAGCCACAGCAACGCGGGAUCCGAGCCGAGUCUGCAACCUACACCACAGUUCACGGCAACGCCGGACUGUUAACCCACUGAGCAAGGGCAGGGACCGAACCCGCAACCUCAUGGUUCCUAGUCGGAUUCGUUAACCACUGCGCCACGACGGGAACUCCUAUAGGAGUGGCCAGCUUGCUGGAGAAUAACAUCAAUUUCAAAUUCUUGGCUUGGGUAUAGAAUUCAUAGGCCGGCCACUUCUUCCAUUUGGCUGAGACAAAAUCAAGUCCAUCGGAUGGUGGCUUUGCAUGUCCAUACUUGUCAGCGUGACCAAAGCACAGCCUUAAGGGAGCAAAGGCUACAGCAAGAUGAAGAAGUUCAAACUCAAAAGUGAGAUUCACUGGUUUCAAGGAAUUUUUUUUUUUUUAAAUGAGACUCUCAUUCCUUAAAGACAUACCCUCAACUGAAAAUACACACGCCAAAACCAAAACAACCCAAAAAAACCCCACCAUGAAUUACUCUUUCACCAAAUUCCUACAAAACCACGGUGGAUCAGCCUAUUCAUAAGAAAAUGACGUCUUCCACAGCAUGUAUCUCAAGCAAAAACUAAGCUGGGCAAAUAGUCAAGCCUAUUUUCUUUACUGUUCUAGGACAUUUCAUGGUGUCUAUUUCUCAGUAUUGGGUUUCUAAUUAAACUGGAUUUGCUUAGGUUUGUUUGAAAUGGUAUGUAUAUACAUUUAGCUAUUAAUAAGUAUAACAAUAUACUUGUAGUAAGUUCAUUAUAUACUUAUAUGAUAUACAUAGAAUAUGUUAUUAACUCAUCAGUAAGUAUAAGAAAUCAUCGGCUGACUGUGGCCCCAAGUUGUCCCAGAGGGGAUUUGAAUUUUUGGGGGGUGUACACCACAGCAAUUUAUAAUUUUUAAGGGUUAUACUCCAUUUAUAGUUAUAUUGGCUGUAUUUCCUAUGAUUUACAAUACAUCCUUGUAGUUUAUUUAAUUUUUGCUUUUUAGGGCCACACCUACGGCAUAUGGAAGUUCCCAGGCUAGGGGUUGAAUGGGAGCUACAGCUGCCAGCCUACACCACAGCCACAGCAACUCGGGAUUUGAGCUGCAUCUGCAACCAACACCACAGCUCACAGUAACACUGGAUCCCCGACCCACUGAGCGAGGUCAGGGAUCAAACUCACAUCCUCAUGGAUACUCAUUGGAUUUUUUUCCACUGUAGCACAACAGGGAACUCCUAUUUUAUACUUAGUGGUUUGUACCUCUUAAUCCCCUACCCCUGUUGCCCUCCUUCCCUCUCCCUGGUAACCACUAGUUUAUUCUUGGUAUCUGUUUUGUUUUUUUUUUAAAUAUUCACUCAUUUGUUGUAUUUUUCAGAUUCCACAUAUAAGUGAUAUCACAUAGCAUUUGUCUUUCUCUGACUUAUAUCACUUAGCAUAAUGCCCUCUAAGUCCAUCCAUGUUGUUACAAAUGGCAACAUUUCCUUCUUAGGAGGCACAUGGGGGUUUAAUAAACCUACUGAGGAUAAAGCUCAGCAGCUGUUCCAUGCCCUAAGCAAGUUGUCUGCUGAUUUCUUAGCAUGAACAAUUAAACCUGAAAAUAAACUUUUUAUUAAAUGCAAAGCUAGAGUUAUUAAAAGUGGCAUAUACUGGGCUAUGACUUCACUGAUAAUUGAAUUAGUACACUGUCAUUUUUCUUUACUUUGCCUCAAUGUGUUCUUCAUUAAAGUGAAAAAAAUAACAAUUUUUAAAAAAGCAUAUUAUCCUUAAUCCAUUGCAUUAGCCUAGUUAUUAGUUAAAUCAUUGUUGGAAGGAAAAGUGGUCCCACUGCUGUUCUUCUAUUAAAUGACUAUAACUUUAAAUGAGCUGUAGCUAACGGAAGAGAGCUCAGACUGUCUUCUGAAACUGUAGCAGUUGCAAGAAAACAAAAAUACAGAAGUUCCAAUUACUUCCUAAUGUUCACUUCACAUAUCAUAUAUGAAAUCAAAUUCCAGAAAUUAUAAUGUCCAUUCCUGUGAAAUGGCUGCAAAUUCAACCUGGUUUUAAAAUUUUGUGUUGAAGAAAGAUUUUUUUUUUAAAAAAAAGAACUUAAAAUCUUUACCAAGCACCUGGUAGGUCUACUGAUGUUGUUUUUAGUUCUACUGACAAGCUCUAUAAAACACAGGUGCUUAGGAGUUCCCGUUGCGGCUCAGCAGUUAACGAACACGACUAGGAUUCAUGAGGAUGUGGAUUCGAUCCCUGGCCUCGUUCAGUGGGUUAAAGAUCUGGCGUUGCUGUGAGCUGUGGUAUAGGUUGCAGAAGCUGCUUGGAUCUGGUGUGUCUGUGACUGUGGUGUAGGCCAGCAGCUGUAGUUCUGAUUGGACCCCUUGCCUGGGAACCUCCAUAUGCCGCGGGUGUGGCCCUAGAAAAAUUAAAAAUAAAACAUAGGUGCUUAAAGUUGUUUUGUUUUUAAACAUUCUCACUCUAAGAUGGCACAAACUGUUAAGAAAGUAAUAUACUAAAACUAGGUAUUUGUAUUGCCAACCCAUAAUCCUGAAUAUCUUUUAUUCAGAACAUAGCUUGUGUAGCUUCCACUUGGUUCCUUAUUCAUUUUCUCCUUUCACUUUAUUAAAAUAAAUCAGUAAAACUAUCCACAAUUUAAGACAACAGCAAGGCCUAUAAAUGCAGGUUUCGGAUUCAAAUUUCUCUGGGAAAUGUUUUCCUUCCAAUUCUCUCUGCCCUGGGAUUUCAUGUUUUCCCUUUUAUUGGUGGCAUCCAAUACCUCCAAUUUUUAACAUUUUCAGACAUGUGUUUCUCUGUAGGUUAAAAGGAAGGAAGUUUAUUCAAACAGCUAAUUCCCAAGUUUAAAGUUCUCAUAUAAUGUAGUUUUUGCUCACGUCUCAAUGACAUAAUUCCCUAAGCUUAAACCAUCAAACAUGAUUACCUCUCUUUGUGCAAAAAGCCACAUACUACAAAUAGUUUUUGUCACAAAACGGUAUUCAUGUAUAAAAGAAAGAAUAGAUACAAGAUUUUACUUAUAAAAGAUUGCUAAAAUAUGUAGCUCCCUUAUAAUCAUAUACUGUUGAACUGCUCCAACUGACUAGUUCUCAACACCAUUUUCUCAGCAAACUUUGCUUUCUCUCUUCCUGCUAAGCAGAAACCUUAAAAAACAGAUCAGAAGCAUUUUAAUGAAGUAGAUGAAAACAGCCAAAAGUUCUUGAAGCCCUACAGAAAAACUGUAGAUGUGAUCAGGCCCUGACAUGUCACGUCUUCUGUACCCUCAUCGUCUCUCCUGCCCUAUUUCACAUACUCUGGUAAGUCGGUUCCUCUGGCUACUGGAUACGACCUGAGAUUUAAAAAGCAAAAACGCUGUCAUAAUACGCUUUGUAAAAUCUUGAAUGUCGUAAAGGAAGUGGAAGAGGCAUUUACCUACAGUGUGAUUUGGUUUUUGCCAUAAAAAAGCAAAUUUAAACCUGAGAAGUAAAGAGCCCAUUGACUGCAUUCACUUACAGGAGAACAAGACUUCCUGACAGAAGUUCAAAUGCACCCUACCCCGUGGGCUGGGGAGUGUUAUACACCCCACACUGUCUUGGGGUGAAGCAGGAUUAUGGCUACGACAAUACUCCACAGUGGCCAGAUGCCACAAGUACAGUCAGUAGCAACGGAGUCAUUUCUAAGUCAGCUACAGAAAGUAACCCCAAAUAUCACUUCCCUAGAAAUACUGGCCAGUGCUCUAUCGGGAAAAUAGAUUUUGAAGAAUGACCCAUAAAACUUCAAAAUUGAGACCCCAUUCCUUAUCAUUCAAUAGGAAAUUUAAAAAAGAAAACCGAAAGGAUUUCGCUUUCCUAACGCAUGGCUACUCCUCUGCUUGGUUGUUCUUAAAAAUAAUUUAUGUAAAGCAGGAUUUUCUCUAAAUAUACCGUGCUCUCUCAUACACAUUGCAAAUGAUAUUUGCAUACACCGAGUGUAUGCACUGAUACACACAUGGUAAAAAGUUAAAAAAUAUAGACUGCAUAAAUCAGAAGCUGAUUUUAAACAGACACCAACUUCAACAGAUUUGUUUGCAAUUUCUGAACUCUUCAGGUAGAAAAGAUCUUUCUUGCUGGCUACGAUUGUAGAAGAUGUUUAUGUUCUAUAGAGUGUGCAAAAAUGCUUCUCCAUAUAAACAAAGAAAGAAAGGUUCCAGGAUCUUGGUAUUCUAACCUUGCCUUUGCUAUUAAAUAUCCAUCCAAUGACUGUGAGGAGACUGGUGAAAUCAGCCGGUCAUGCUACAGUAAACAUGGUAUUUUGUGCACUGCCCAAGACAUUUUUUCUCAUGAAUAUAAGUCACCUGCCAUUUAUUAUGAGAUUUUUUUUUCCCCGACUGACACCCCAUUAUGUAUAUUCAGUCAAGCUCAAACAAGAUUUCAAGUGAUCAAUACACUAUUGGUGCUGAAAGUCUAUUAGCCACUCUAGCAAUAAACUCUGCAGCGAAACGAAGAAUGGAGAAAUAUUUAGUGAACUGAAUUACACAGAAGUCCAUGUUUAGGGGCAAGGGAACAGAAAGAGGGAGGCAGAAAAGCAAGGGGAAGACAAGGGAAGGAAGACAUUUUUCCUAAUAAAAAUCAGCUUUCUGGAGCCUGACCAAUGAUCAAAUGCAUUAAAUGCCUAAGAAUUGUUUCAAAAAUAUCUUAAAUUACAUGGUGAGGUCUCUAAAGAAACAGGGAGGGGUCUUCCUCUGGGUCCCUUUCUGAGAACAGAGAGUUGCUUCCAUAAAGAACCAUACGUGGAAGUAUUUGAUAUCCCAAAGUGGAGAAGGCAGGCCGAUGGUAAAAUCCUGCACCAUCCAGUGUCUAUGUGUCCAAGAGCAAUGCCGUGUUUGAACACUUUUCACUUUAUAUCUGAAGCGUAGCAGAUCUCAACAGGGAGCUGAGCUCAAGAAGUAUUCUGGUUCAUCUAUGCAUUAGGAAAGCUAACUCAAUAGCCGCCAAAGGAUUUCACCUGGCACAAAAGAAUGCUGCU
This 5036-nucleotide long non-coding RNA is filed under the name Sus scrofa (pig). RNAcentral describes it as "lncRNA (ENSSSCG00025010413.1)". The record is from RNAcentral. Lineage: Eukaryota; Metazoa; Chordata; Mammalia; Artiodactyla; Suidae.